Molecule: transfer RNA, 77 nt
Filed under: Alistipes sp. CAG:831
Lineage: Bacteria; Pseudomonadati; Bacteroidota; Bacteroidia; Bacteroidales; Rikenellaceae
Description: transfer RNA-Pro(TGG)
Rfam family: tRNA
About the family: Transfer RNA (tRNA) molecules are approximately 80 nucleotides in length. Their secondary structure includes four short double-helical elements and three loops (D, anti-codon, and T loops). Further hydrogen bonds mediate the characteristic L-shaped molecular structure. tRNAs have two regions of fundamental functional importance: the anti-codon, which is responsible for specific mRNA codon recognition, and the 3' end, to which the tRNAs corresponding amino acid is attached (by aminoacyl-tRNA synthetases). tRNAs cope with the degeneracy of the genetic code in two manners: having more than one tRNA (with a specific anti-codon) for a particular amino acid; and 'wobble' base-pairing, i.e. permitting non-standard base-pairing at the 3rd anti-codon position.
Source: RNAcentral
CGGGGUGUGGCGCAGUUGGCUAGCGCACCUGCUUUGGGAGCAGGGGGUCGAAGGUUCGAGUCCUUUUACCCCGACUA